Hyaena hyaena (striped hyena) is the source of this 73-nucleotide non-coding RNA. The record is from the annotation of a RefSeq genome assembly. Lineage: Eukaryota; Metazoa; Chordata; Mammalia; Carnivora; Hyaenidae.
ACCUGGCUGGCUCAGUCGGUAGAGCAUGGGACUCUUGAUCUCAGGGUCAUGAGUUCGAGUCUCACGUUGGGUG